CCUACGGGUGGCAGCAGUGAGGAAUAUUGGUCAAUGGGCGCGAGCCUGAACCAGCCAAGUCGCGUGAGGGAUGAAGGUUCUAUGGAUCGUAAACCUCUUUUAUAAGGGAAUAAAGUGUGGGACGUGUCCUAUUUUGUAUGUACCUUAUGAAUAAGGAUCGGCUAACUCCGUGCCAGCAGCCGCGGUAAUACGGAGGAUCCGAGCGUUAUCCGGAUUUAUUGGGUUUAAAGGGUGCGUAGGCGGCCUUUUAAGUCAGCGGUGAAAGUCUGUGGCUCAACCAUAGAAUUGCCGUUGAAACUGGGGGGCUUGAGUAUGUUUGAGGCAGGCGGAAUGCGUGGUGUAGCGGUGAAAUGCUUAGAUAUCACGCAGAACUCCGAUCGCGAAGGCAGCCUACCGGCGCGCAACUGACGCUCAUGCACGAAAGCGUGGGUAUCGAACAGGAUUAGAUACCCCGGUAGUC
RNAcentral lists this ribosomal RNA (460 nucleotides) under uncultured bacterium. RNAcentral's name for it is "partial 16S ribosomal RNA". It matches the Rfam family "Bacterial small subunit ribosomal RNA", at positions 338 to 795 of the family's 1533-position model. The record is from RNAcentral.